UGAGGAAUAUUGCGCAAUGGGCGAAAGCCUGACGCAGCGACGCCGUGUGGAGGAUGACGUCCUUCGGGAUGUAAACUCCUGUCAGAGGGAACGACAUCGACGGUACCCUCAGAGGAAGGCCCGGCUAACUACGUGCCAGCAGCCGCGGUAAUACGUAGGGGCCAAGCGUUGUCCGGAAUUAUUGGGCGUAAAGCGCGCGUAGGCGGUGAUAUAAGUCAAUUGUAAAAGGUAUGGGCCCAACCCAUAUAUCGCAACUGAUACUGUAUUGCUAGAGAUCGGGAGAGGAAAGCGGAAUUCCAGGUGUAGCGGUGAAAUGCGUAGAUAUCUGGAGGAACACCGGUGGCGAAAGCGGCUUUCUGGACCGAUUCUGACGCUGAGGUGCGAAAGCUAGGGGAGCAAACAGG
RNAcentral lists this ribosomal RNA (404 nucleotides) under uncultured bacterium. RNAcentral describes it as "bacterial SSU rRNA". It matches the Rfam family "Bacterial small subunit ribosomal RNA", at positions 355 to 776 of the family's 1533-position model. The record is from RNAcentral.